GACGAACGCUGGCGGCGUGCCUAAUACAUGCAAGUCGAGCGGAGUUGAAAAGCUUGCUUUUCAACUUAGCGGCGGACGGGUGAGUAACACGUGGGGAACCUGCCUUUAAGACUGGGAUAACUUCGGGAAACCGAGGCUAAUACCGGAUAACAUCUUUUAACACAUGUUAGAAGAUUAAAAGACGGCGCAAGCUGUCACUUAGAGAUGGCCCCGCGGCGCAUUAGCUAGUUGGUGAGGUAACGGCUCACCAAGGCAACGAUGCGUAGCCGACCUGAGAGGGUGAUCGGCCACACUGGGACUGAGACACGGCCCAGACUCCUACGGGAGGCAGCAGUAGGGAAUCUUCCGCAAUGGACGAAAGUCUGACGGAGCAACGCCGCGUGAGUGAUGAAGGUUUUCGGAUCGUAAAACUCUGUUGUUAGGGAAGAACAAGUAGCAUAGUAACUGAUGUUACCUUGACGGUACCUAACCAGAAAGCCACGGCUAACUACGUGCCAGCCGCCGCAGUAAAAC
Molecule: ribosomal RNA, 513 nt
Filed under: uncultured bacterium
Lineage: Bacteria
Description: bacterial SSU rRNA
Rfam family: Bacterial small subunit ribosomal RNA
Source: RNAcentral